GCAUAACGCGAAGAACCUUACCUGGCCUUGACAUGCCACUAACGAAGCAGAGAUGCAUUAGGUGCCCGUAAGGGAAAGUGGACACAGGUGCUGCAUGGCUGUCGUCAGCUCGUGUCGUGAGAUGUUGGGUUAAGUCCCGCAACGAGCGCAAUCCUUGCCAUUAAUUGCCAUCAUUUAGUUGGGCACUUUAAUGGGACUGCCGGUGACAAACCGGAGGAAGGUGGGAUGACGUCAAGUCCUCAUGGCCCUUAUGGCCAGGGCUUCACACGUAAUACAAUGGUCGGUACAGAGAGUUGCCAAGCCGCGAGGUGGAGCUAAUCUCAGAAAGCCGAUCGUAGUCCGGAUUGUUCUCUGCAACUCGAGAGCAUGAAGUCGGAAUCGCUAGUAAUCGCGGAUCAGCAUGUCGCGGUGAAUACGUUCCCGGGUCUUGUACACACCG
RNAcentral lists this ribosomal RNA (439 nucleotides) under uncultured bacterium. RNAcentral describes it as "bacterial SSU rRNA". It matches the Rfam family "Bacterial small subunit ribosomal RNA", at positions 954 to 1392 of the family's 1533-position model. The record is from RNAcentral.